This 362-nucleotide ribosomal RNA is filed under the name uncultured bacterium. RNAcentral describes it as "bacterial SSU rRNA". It matches the Rfam family "Bacterial small subunit ribosomal RNA", at positions 29 to 418 of the family's 1533-position model. The record is from RNAcentral.
AACGAACGCUGGCGGCAGGCUUAACACAUGCAAGUCGAACGCACCGCAAGGUGAGUGGCAGACGGGUGAGUAACACGUGGGAACGUACCCCUUUGUUCGGAAUAGCCCUGGGAAACUAGGGCUAAUACCGGAUACGGCCGGAAGGCGAAAGGUUUACCGCAGAGGGAUCGGCCCGCGUCCGAUUUAGCUUGUUGGUGAGGUAAUGGCUCACCAAGGCAUCGAUCGGUAGCUGGUCUGAGAGGAUGGCCAGCCACAUUGGGACUGAGACACGGCCCAAACUCCUACGGGAGGCAGCAGUGGGGAAUAUUGGACAAUGGGCGCAAGGCCUGAUCCAGCCAUGCCGCGUGAGUGAUGACGGCCUU